UACGGGGGGUGCAAGCGUUGUUCGGAAUUACUGGGCGUAAAGCGCGUGUAGGCGGCUUGUCAAGUCGGGUGUGAAAUCCCAGGGCUUAACCCUGGAAGUGCGCUCGAAACUAGCAGGCUAGAGUACGGUAGAGGGAAGGGGAAUUCCCGGUGUAGAGGUGAAAUUCGUAGAUAUCGGGAGGAAUACCGGCGGCGAAGGCGCCUUCCUGGGCCGUUACUGACGCUGAGACGCGAAAGCGUGGGGAGCAAACAGG
RNAcentral lists this ribosomal RNA (253 nucleotides) under uncultured bacterium. Its description in RNAcentral is "partial 16S ribosomal RNA". It matches the Rfam family "Bacterial small subunit ribosomal RNA", at positions 524 to 776 of the family's 1533-position model. The record is from RNAcentral.